CCCUGAGCUCUGCUCUCGCCAGGGCCGAAUCAGACAAACACUUGGAUCCAAACUUAUUAAAUGUGCACCCACUGCGUCCCUCUUCCGAGCGUGAAGACAGUGGAGAGCGCUCAGUUUCAGCUGCCCAGACCAUCAGGAAAUAUUUUCAACAGCUUCUGCCGCAAGCCCCCCACGUCCAUGUCCGGGUCCGUCCUGGAGGCCCUGACCCUCUCCACUGCCAUGAAGUGUGCCCCCCCCGACGGCUGCUCCCUGUUCCUGCGCGUCAAGGCCUCUCUCACGCUGCAUGAGGGCCUGCGGGGCCUGGAGGCCUGCUCCAUGAGCCUGGACACCCAGGAGAUACAGUGCCAGAGCGUGCGGGUCCCGAGGGCCUCCCGCCGGCUGCAGGUGGGGCAGCAGCUCCAGGUGCACUUUGACUGCUUUGAGGUGAGCGUGGCCCAGAGCCUCUACGUCACCCUGAGGACUGUCCCCCACUUCUGCGGGGUCCAGCUGGACGAGCGGUACCAUGUGGAAGACUGCGCAGACGAGGACGUAGGGAGGAACGUGCCCGACUGCUUUGCUGGGAAGCUCUCCUACUCGGUGGACCGCAGCCGCAAGGUCAUUCUGGUACAGGUGCCAGAGUCAGGGGGCCCCGACUACCACGACUACUACGUGCGGCUCUGCCUCAAGUGGUUCACCUGCGAAGACGCGGGCGCCCCAGUGCGAGUGACAGCGAACGGGGUCUCCCGGAGGGUCUCUCUGCCCUACAAACAAGAGUUGUCGUGCCUGUGCCUUGAGGGCUGGUCCGCGACGCCUGACGCCGUGCGGAUCCAGACCUGCCCCUUCGAAGAUGACACGGAGACACUGUGGGACGCCAUCCACUACCACCCGGGGAGCCAGGAGCUGAGUUGGGAGCCUGCCUGUCCCAUGAGUGGCCGUGUGAGUCUGUGCUGGCGCCCAGGGCCAGGGUCCCAGUGCCUGGAGCUGGAGCAGUCCAGCCGGCCUGCACACAGCAGGGUGCAGUACCCUCUUGUGGACACCCAGCCCCAGCUCUGCCUGAAGUUCUCCACGAGCCUGGGCUUCCCGGUGAAGUGCCCUUUUGAGCAGCUGCGCUUCCCAGCCUGGAAGAUGACCGUCCAGCUGGCGCCCGCUCCGGGCCACCUCCGGGUGGCCUUCUUCUCGCCCAGCCCUGCCCGCUUCCAGGUGUGCCUGUGUCACCGAGGGAAGACGUGGCCCCCCGCGUGCCGCCGGCUGCUCCAGGCCACCCCCAUCCCUGCGGGUGACCCCACAGAGGACCCUGCGGUGGCCUUUGUGGACAUUCCUGGGGACCAGGCCUGCGCACCCGGCACCUGCAUCCAGGGCAGAAGGACCGACAUCCAGUUCUCCGUCCCCCAGCAGCUGUGCGACCUCCAGUGCGCUGCCAGCCAGGGGACAGCAGCCUGAGGCCACGUGUCUCACCAGGAAGAAGGAAGCGCUAGGGCCAGACUGCUGGGACGUGGAUCUGGAACCACACCCGGAGCCCCAUGGCCCAGCAGGCCCGCCGCCUUGGCCAUGGACCAAUUCGUAUGCUGUUAUUUCCUUUUCUUGGUCUAUUGCACUGGCUACAAAUGCUGGUACUGUGUUGAAUAAGAAUGACAAGAUGGGCAUCCUUGACUCGAUGCUGAUCUUCGGGGAAAAAGCCUUUCACAUGCUCAGAAAAAUGUUGUAUUACCAAUACUUCUUUCUGGUCUCUACGAUUUCUGAAGAGAAGCCCAGUCAUUCAAAUCCUAGCUCCUCUGUAGCUUAUCCUGGAUGGGAUUAGCCCUGCUUCUUCAAUUAAACUAUCCACUUCUGCAUUUGUGACACAUUUGGGGCCAAACGGCAGGAGAACAUAGAGGGAAAAAGCUGCUAAUAUGUGAGUUCAGCAAGGUUCCAGGACCCAAGAUCAACAUACAAAAACCAUCUGCAUUUCGAUAUGUUACCGAUGAACGAUCCAGAAAGGAAAUUGAGAUAACAACUCCAUUUACAACAGCAAUGAAAAGAAUGCAAUGGUUAGGAAUGAACUUAACAAAAGGAGAGCAAGACUUGUACACUUAAGACUACAGAGCAAUUCUAAGAGAGAGUAAAGAAAUCUAAAUAAACAGGGAGAAAUUCAGUGUUCAUGGGUGGGAAGACUCAAUACUGUUACGAUGCACACAGACUGAACAGACUGAAUGCAAUUUCUAUCAAAAUGUGAGUGGAUUUCUGGGGGGCAGAAGUGAGCAAUCUGAUCGUAAAAUGUGUAUGGAAAGGCAAAGGACACAAAAUAGCCAAAACAAGUUUUUAAAGGAGCAAAGCUGGAGAAUUUAGAGUUUCCAAUUUUAAAACUUACACUAACGCUACAGCGAUAGAGACAGCACGUUUUGCAGUAUGGACUGACAUCCAGGCCCAUGGAACAGGACUGAGAUCCAGAAAUAAAUGAUCAGAUGAUUUUUGACAAAGGUGCCACAGCUUUCACUGGGGAAAGGGAUACUCUUCAACAAAUGGUGCUAUGGUAAUUGGACAUCCACAUGGAGAAAGAGGAGUUUGGACCCUUACCUCACACCGUACACAAAAAUUAACUCAAAAUGAACCAUAAACCUAAAUGUAGGCGCUACAGCCAUAACGCUUCUGAAAGGAAACAUAAAAGAAAACCUCUGUGCCCUUGAGUGACGCAUAGUGUUCUCAGGUGCAGCAGACACUAAAGACAGGACCCAUGGAAAAGACAGACAAAUUGGACUUGGUCAAAAGUAAACGUUUUGUGUUUCAAACACCAGCAGUAAGAUGGUGAAAACUGGGUUAAAUGUUCCCAAAUCUUAUAUGUAUUAAUAAUAAAGGACUUGCAUUUAGAAUCUAUAAAGAACGCUCACAACUCAAAAUACGACACACGCUGAAAGUUGUUGUGUGUAUUUUACCACAAUUCACAAACAUAUAUAAGAUUUUAAAGAACAACAAUAAGACAAGCAAUCCAAGUAAGAAAUAGGUCGAAAGUUUGAUUAGACAUUUAACCAAAGAAGGAGGGGGGAAGCUGGGUAUCCUCUUUGGUGCAAUGUCUAAUCAAAUGUGAGAAGAUGCUUAACAUCAUUAGCUAUUAGGAAAAUCAAAUUGAAACUGAAUGCAACACCGCUUCACAUCCACUAGGAUGGCUACAGUCAGAAUGAAAGAUGAUAAUGAGCGUUGACAAGGACGUGGAAACAUUGGAAGCCUCGGUCAUUGCUGGUGGGAAUGCAAACUGUAGAGCCAACUUCUUCAAAAGUUACAUGGAAAUGUCCCACGUGACCCAGCAAUUCCAUUCCUAGGUGUCUACCUCAAAGAAAUGACAAUGUAUGUGCACACGAAGACAUGUACCUGAAUGUACAUAACAGCCUUAUUCGUAAGAGCCAAAAUGUGGGGGAAGAAAAGCAAACAUCCAUCAACUGGUGAGCGGAUAAGCAGAACGUGUUCCCUACAAUGGAAUAUGUUUAUGGGAACCAACUAUGGACGUGUUACGUCACGGAUGAACUUCAAAAUGCGUGUGCUCAGCGAAAGCAACCAGAUACCAAACGCUACAAGUUGUAGAUUCCGUUUAUAUGAAACGUCCAAAAAAGGCCAGUCUGUGGGACAGAAAGCAGGUGCGUGGUUGCCAGGGGCUGGGGUGGGGGACGAGUGACUGCUCGUGGGGAACAAGGGAUCAUCGAGGGGAUGGAAAACGUGCUAAAAUCGGACUGUGGUGGUUGCACAACUCGGAAGUUUUACUAAAACCAUUGAAGGGUGGGUGGCUCAUUGAAGUCGUUGAAAG
RNA transcript from Globicephala melas (long-finned pilot whale), 3751 nucleotides. It is a transcript of the gene named interleukin 17 receptor E like, with no coding region annotated. Lineage: Eukaryota; Metazoa; Chordata; Mammalia; Artiodactyla; Delphinidae. The record is from RefSeq and is a predicted model, not a curated record.